RNAcentral lists this ribosomal RNA (429 nucleotides) under Gemmatimonadota bacterium. Its description in RNAcentral is "Gemmatimonadetes bacterium partial 16S ribosomal RNA". It matches the Rfam family "Bacterial small subunit ribosomal RNA", at positions 355 to 776 of the family's 1533-position model. Lineage: Bacteria; Pseudomonadati; Gemmatimonadota. The record is from RNAcentral.
UAGGGAAUCUUCGGCAAUGGACGAAAGUCUGACCGAGCAACGCCGCGCGAGUGAAGAAGGUUUUCGGAUCGUAAAACUCUGUUGUUAGAGAAGAACAAGGACGUUAGUAACUGAACGUCCCCUGACGGUAUCUAACCAGAAAGCCACGGCUAACUACGUGCCAGCAGCCGCGGUAAUACGUAGGUGGCAAGCGUUGUCCGGAUUUAUUGGGCGUAAAGCGAGCGCAGGCGGUUUCUUAAGUCUGAUGUGAAAGCCCCCGGCUCAACCGGGGAGGGUCAUUGGAAACUGGGAGACUUGAGUGCAGAAGAGGGGAGUGGAAUUCCAUGUGUAGCGGUGAAAUGCGUAGAUAUAUGGAAGAACACCAGUGGCGAAGGCGGCUCUCUGGUCUGUAACUGACGCUGAGGCUCGAAAGCGUGGGGAGCAAACAGG